GCUGGCGGAGUGCUUAACACAUGCAAGUCGAACGAUGAAGCCCAGCUUGCUGGGUGGAUUAGUGGCGAACGGGUGAGUAACACGUGAGUAACCUGCCCCCGACUCUGGGAUAAGCCCGGGAAACUGGGUCUAAUACCGGAUAUGACCUCGCACCGCAUGGUGCGGGGUGGAAAGAUUUAUCGGUGGGGGAUGGACUCGCGGCCUAUCAGCUUGUUGGUGAGGUAAUGGCUCACCAAGGCGACGACGGGUAGCCGGCCUGAGAGGGUGACCGGCCACACUGGGACUGAGACACGGCCCAGACUCCUACGGGAGGCAGCAGUGGGGAAUAUUGCACAAUGGGCGCAAGCCUGAUGCAGCGACGCCGCGUGAGGGAUGACGGCCUUCGGGUUGUAAACCUCUUUCAGUAGGGAAGAAGCGAAAGUGACGGUACCUGCAGAAGAAGCGCCGGCUAACUACGUGCCAGCAGCCGCGGUAAUACGUAGGGCGCAAGCGUUAUCCGGAUUUAUUGGGCGUAAAGAGCUCGUAGGCGGUUUGUCGCGUCUGCCGUGAAAGUCCGAGGCUCAACCUCCGGAUCUGCCGGUGGGGUACGGGCCAAANUAAAAUGNUGGUANGGGGAGACUGGAAAUNCCCUGGGUGUACCGGUNGAAAAUGCNCAAAAUUUCAGGGNGGAACCCCCCAUNGGGNCAAAGGCANGGUCCUCUGGGNCNUUUUACUUGACCCUUGAAGGNNCCGAAAGCCUUGNGGGAAGCGGAACAAGGAUUUAAANUACCCCNGGGUAAGUCCCCNNGCUUGUNAAA
This 797-nucleotide ribosomal RNA is filed under the name Arthrobacter sp. LZX11. Its description in RNAcentral is "partial 16S ribosomal RNA". It matches the Rfam family "Bacterial small subunit ribosomal RNA", at positions 35 to 836 of the family's 1533-position model. The record is from RNAcentral. Lineage: Bacteria; Bacillati; Actinomycetota; Actinomycetes; Micrococcales; Micrococcaceae.